ACGCUGGCGGCGUGCUUAACACAUGCAAGUCGAACGGAAAGGCCCUGCUUUUGUGGGGUGCUCGAGUGGCGAACGGGUGAGUAACACGUGAGUAACCUGCCCUUGACUUUGGGAUAACUUCAGGAAACUGGGGCUAAUACCGGAUAGGAGCUCCUGCUGCAUGGUGGGGGUUGGAAAGUUUCGGCGGUUGGGGAUGGACUCGCGGCUUAUCAGCUUGUUGGUGGGGUAGUGGCUUACCAAGGCUUUGACGGGUAGCCGGCCUGAGAGGGUGACCGGCCACAUUGGGACUGAGAUACGGCCCAGACUCCUACGGGAGGCAGCAGUGGGGAAUAUUGCACAAUGGGCGGAAGCCUGAUGCAGCAACGCCGCGUGCGGGAUGACGGCCUUCGGGUUGUAAACCGCUUUCGCCUGUGACGAAGCGUGAGUGACGGUAAUGGGUAAAGAAGCACCGGCUAACUACGUGCCAGCAGCCGCGGUGAUACGUAGGGUGCGAGCGUUGUCCGGAUUUAUUGGGCGUAAAGGGCUCGUAGGUGGUUGAUCGCGUCGGAAGUGUAAUCUUGGGGCUUAACCCUGAGCGUGCUUUCGAUACGGGUUGACUUGAGGAAGGUAGGGGAGAAUGGAAUUCCUGGUGGAGCGGUGGAAUGCGCAGAUAUCAGGAGGAACACCAGUGGCGAAGGCGGUUCUCUGGGCCUUUCCUGACGCUGAGGAGCGAAAGCGUGGGGAGCGAACAGGCUUAGAUACCCUGGUAGUCCACGCUGUAAACGGUGGGUACUAGGUGUGGGGUCCAUUCCACGGGUUCCGUGCCGUAGCUAACGCUUUAAGUACCCCGCCUGGGGAGUACGGCCGCAAGGCUAAAACUCAAAGGAAUUGACGGGGCCCCGCACAAGCGGCGGAGCAUGCGGAUUAAUUCGAUGCAACGCGUAGAACCUUACCUGGGUUUGACAUGGAUCGGGAGCGCUCAGAGAUGGGUGUGCCUCUUUUGGGGUCGGUUCACAGGUGGUGCAUGGCUGUCGUCAGCUCGUGUCGUGAGAUGUUGGGUUAAGUCCCGCAACGAGCGCAACCCUUGUUCACUGUUGCCAGCACGUUAUGGUGGGGACUCAGUGGAGACCGCCGGGGUCAACUCGGAGGAAGGUGGGGAUGACGUCAAGUCAUCAUGCCCCUUAUGUCCAGGGCUUCACGCAUGCUACAAUGGCUGGUACAGAGAGUGGCGAGCCUGUGAGGGUGAGCGAAUCUCGGAAAGCCGGUCUCAGUUCGGAUUGGGGUCUGCAACUCGACCUCAUGAAGUCGGAGUCGCUAGUAAUCGCAGAUCAGCAACGCUGCGGUGAAUACGUUCCCGGGGCUUGUACACACCGCCCGUCAAGUCAUGAAAGUUGGUAACACCCGAAGCCGGUGGCCUAACCGUUGUGGGGGAGCCGUCGAAGGUGGGACUGGUGAUUAG
RNAcentral lists this ribosomal RNA (1438 nucleotides) under uncultured organism. Its description in RNAcentral is "SSU rRNA". It matches the Rfam family "Bacterial small subunit ribosomal RNA". The record is from RNAcentral.